CCCGCACAAGCGGUGGAGCAUGUGGUUUAAUUCGACGCAACGCGAAGAACCUUACCAGGGCUUGACAUCCCCUGACCGCGUAUGAAAGUACGUUUUCACCCUCGGGUGACAGGGAGACAGGUGGUGCAUGGUUGUCGUCAGCUCGUGCCGUGAGGUGUUGGGUUAAGUCCCGCAACGAGCGCAACCCUCAUUGUUAGUUACUACCAUUCAGUUGAGGACUCUAAUGAGACUGCCAACGACAAGUUGGAGGAAGUGGGGAUGACGUCAAAUCAUCAUGCCCUUUAUGACCUGGGCUACAAACGUACUACAAUGGCCAAUACAAAGAGAUGCGAAGCGGUGACGUGGAGCGAACCUCAGAAAGUUGGUCUCAGUUCGGAUUGUAGGCUGCAACUCGCCUACAUGAAGUCGGAAUCGCUAGUAAUCGCGGAUCAGCACGCCGCGGUGAAUACGUUCCCGGGCCUU
This 462-nucleotide ribosomal RNA is filed under the name uncultured Mollicutes bacterium. Its description in RNAcentral is "bacterial SSU rRNA". It matches the Rfam family "Bacterial small subunit ribosomal RNA", at positions 920 to 1382 of the family's 1533-position model. Lineage: Bacteria; Bacillati; Mycoplasmatota; Mollicutes. The record is from RNAcentral.